ACCACCAUUACCAUCCAGCAGCAAGCCAUCCUGGUCCUGCGUUGAAUCUUCAUCGUCGCUCUGGAAAAACAUAAUCAGGAAUUUCACUGAUAGCUAAGAUAUGUUAUUUUGGACAAUGAGUAGGCCUCAAGUGAGAUGGAAUGAAGACAACUUGUAUGAAAUUGAAGCCAAUAAACCAGUGAGGCAGAAAAUAACUGAACCUAAAACACCUUAUCAUCCUAUGGUUGAGGAUGAUGGUAAGUCCGCAAAUGUUGAUUUAU
Zingiber officinale is the source of this 260-nucleotide long non-coding RNA. RefSeq lists it as uncharacterized. NCBI's taxonomy places the organism in Eukaryota, Viridiplantae, Streptophyta, Magnoliopsida, Zingiberales, Zingiberaceae. The transcript has 3 exons. The record is from RefSeq and is a predicted model, not a curated record.